RNAcentral lists this ribosomal RNA (448 nucleotides) under uncultured bacterium. RNAcentral's name for it is "bacterial SSU rRNA". It matches the Rfam family "Bacterial small subunit ribosomal RNA", at positions 28 to 486 of the family's 1533-position model. The record is from RNAcentral.
GAUGAACGCUGGCGGCGUGCCUAAUACAUGCAAGUCGAACGAGGUGCUUUUGUAGCAAUACGAGAGUAUCCUAGUGGCGAACGGGUGAGUAACGCGUUGGUGACCUACCCCAAAGUGUGGGAUAACAGUCCGAAAGGAUUGCUAAUACCGCAUGUGGUCUUCGGAUUUAGAAACUGAUGACUAAAGGAGCAAUUCGCUUUGGGAGGGACCUGCGUCCCAUCAGCUAGUUGGUGAGGUAAUGGCUCACCAAGGCUACGACGGGUAGGGGACCUGAGAGGGUGACCCCCCCACAAUGGAACUGAAACACGGUCCAUACACCUACGGGUGGCAGCAGUAGGGAAUAUUGCACAAUGGGCGAAAGCCUGAUGCAGCAACGCCGCGUGUGCGAUGAAGGCCUUGGUCGUAAAGCACUUUUCUGGGAGAUGAGCAACGGACAGUAUCCCAGGAA